UUUAACUUGAAAUAUAAGGACAGAGGUGGAAUCUUGAGUAUCCAAUCUACUAGUUUGAAGGAGCUUCUAUUUACAAGUUUAUAUGGGAUAGUGAAGAUUCAUCUGUGGCUUCGGAGCUGAGAAUCUGUACCCCAAAUCUUGAAACAUUAGAAAUUAAUGGACUUCCAUACAAGUAUUUGCUGACCGAUGUCUCAUCAUUGACACGUGCAGUUCUUGGUUCGAUGCAUUUAGACCAUAUGUCGAAGGUCGGGUUGCCAAACGCAUUGAGUCAGAUUCUUCCAAGCAUUCAACAUGUGGAAAACAUUGAAUUAUAAUACUGUUGCACCAAGGAGCUUGGAGCUUUGAAAAUGAAAUGUGCGAACUCAGCUUUUCAGAAUGUCAAAUCCUUAGAACUUACAUGUUGUUUGUAUGACUGCAAACAAGUAGUAGGUAUUCUAGAGAUCUUCCCUCAGUUGGAGAGAUUGGUCAUUGAUGAGAUUGAAGAAGCCUGGCUCCUUGAUGACACCGAGUCACUCAAGUUUGAGGAAAAUAUCCCCGAGUCCUUUCUUCUUCGGUUGAGGACAACAGAGGUUUCUUAUUGGUAUGAGGGCUAUGGCAUAUUUCCAUUGACUGAGAUUAUGUUAAAAUACGCAAGCAAGCUAGAAAAGUUUGUUUUCUAUUUAAAUGAAACCGAGUCACCUGCAGCAUCAGAUUCUUUGUUUUUGGUGUCACAGAAGCUGCUGGGGAUGUGGAGAUCUUCGACUAAUUGCACAUUUAAUCUCACCAAGUUAUACUGAACGCCUCAGCCAACUAACUGAUAGUCUUGUUCGACGUGUAAUUACUAGCUGUUGUCGUACAUUUUCUUUCAAAUAUCAAUGGCAACAGUAUGCUUCUCUGGGGAGGGAAGCUAGGUUUCCUUUUCUUUCGUUCGACUUGCUGUGCUGUGUCAAUUAUAGUUUCAUUUUGCGGAUUGUAUUUUCGUACUAUAUGCUUAUUCAGUGCUGUAGAGCAAUCUUACAUUGUUUGAGUAUGCUGAUGCCGUUUUCAUAUGUAGCACACUUGCUAACUUCCUUGUGUAACAAACGACAACUAAUGAUUAAACUUAGAUUGUCAUUUAUCUAGCUUUAAUGUCUGUUA
Molecule: long non-coding RNA, 1116 nt
Organism: Salvia splendens (bonfire salvia)
Lineage: Eukaryota; Viridiplantae; Streptophyta; Magnoliopsida; Lamiales; Lamiaceae
Exons: 2
Source: RefSeq, a predicted model, not a curated record